Molecule: ribosomal RNA, 353 nt
Filed under: Eudorylas fortis
Lineage: Eukaryota; Metazoa; Arthropoda; Insecta; Diptera; Pipunculidae
Description: partial 12S ribosomal RNA
Source: RNAcentral
UAAAAAUUUAAUUUAAAAUAUUAAAGUAGUAUUAGUUAAGAUCUUGAAAUUUAAGAAAUUUGGCGGUAUUUUAGUCUAUUCAGAGGAACCUGUUUUUUAAUCGAUAGUCCACGAUGUAUCUGACUAAGAAUUAUUUAGUUUAUAUAUCGUCGUUUAUUGAAUAUUUUAUUAGAAUAAUAAUUUUCUUAAUUUUUUAUGAGAAAAUAUGUCAGAUCAAGAUGUAGCUUAUAUUUUAGUUUAUAAUGGGUUACUUUUAUUUUAUUAAUUGGAAAUAAAUUUAUAAUAGUUUAUGGAAAUUGGAUUUGAUAGUAAAUUAAUAUAGAUUAAUUAGUUGAUUUUUGCUCUAAAAUAUG